CUUUUAAAGGAUAAUAGUUAAUCCUUUGGUUUUAGACACCAAAGCCCUUGGUGCAAGUCCAAGUAAAAGU
Molecule: transfer RNA, 70 nt
Filed under: Dicamptodon aterrimus (Idaho giant salamander)
Lineage: Eukaryota; Metazoa; Chordata; Amphibia; Caudata; Dicamptodontidae
Description: tRNA-Leu
Rfam family: tRNA
About the family: Transfer RNA (tRNA) molecules are approximately 80 nucleotides in length. Their secondary structure includes four short double-helical elements and three loops (D, anti-codon, and T loops).
Source: RNAcentral